RNAcentral lists this ribosomal RNA (457 nucleotides) under uncultured bacterium. Its description in RNAcentral is "bacterial SSU rRNA". It matches the Rfam family "Bacterial small subunit ribosomal RNA", at positions 340 to 786 of the family's 1533-position model. The record is from RNAcentral.
UACGGGAGGCAGCAGUGGGGAAUAUUGCACAAUGGGCGAAAGCCUGAUGCAGCUAUGCCGCGUGUAUGAAGAAGGCCUUAGGGUUGUAAAGUACUUUCAUCGGGGAGGAAAAAACAAAACUAAUAAUUUUAUUUCUUGACGUUACCCGAAAAAGAAGCACCGGCUAACUCCGUGCCAGCAGCCGCGGUAAUACGGAGGGUGCUAGCGUUAAUCAGAAUUACUGGGCGUAAAGAGCACGUAGGUGGUUUUUUUAAGUCAGAUGUGAAAUCCCUGGGCUUAACCUAGGAACUGCAUUUUGAAACUGAAAUACUAGAGUAUCGUAGAGGGAGGUAGAAUUCUAGGUGUAGCGGUGAAAUGCGUAGAUAUCUGGAGGAAUACCUGUGGCGAAAGCGGCCUCCUAAACGAAUACUGACACUGAGGUGCGAAAGCGUGGGGAGCAAGGCAGGGAUUAGAUACC